RNAcentral lists this ribosomal RNA (484 nucleotides) under uncultured bacterium. Its description in RNAcentral is "partial 16S ribosomal RNA". It matches the Rfam family "Bacterial small subunit ribosomal RNA", at positions 30 to 507 of the family's 1533-position model. The record is from RNAcentral.
AUUGAACGCUGGCGGCAGGCCUAACACAUGCAAGUCGAACGGAUGAAGGGAGCUUGCUCCUGGAUUCAGCGGCGGACGGGUGAGUAAUGCCUAGGAAUCUGCCUGGUAGUGGGGGAUAACGUCCGGAAACGGGCGCUAAUACCGCAUACGUCCUGAGGGAGAAAGUGGGGGAUCUUCGGACCUCACGCUAUCAGAUGAGCCUAGGUCGGAUUAGCUAGUUGGUGGGGUAAAGGCCUACCAAGGCGACGAUCCGUAACUGGUCUGAGAGGAUGAUCAGUCACACUGGAACUGAGACACGGUCCAGACUCCUACGGGAGGCAGCAGUGGGGAAUAUUGGACAAUGGGCGAAAGCCUGAUCCAGCCAUGCCGCGUGUGUGAAGAAGGUCUUCGGAUUGUAAAGCACUUUAAGUUGGGAGGAAGGGCAGUAAGUUAAUACCUUGCUGUUUUGACGUUACCAACGGAAUAAGCACCGGCUAACUUCGUG